ACCAGGUUUUCCGAAGGAAAAAACUGGUUAUUAGAUUGGCGAAUGCGGGCGGGCUGGCUAGCUGGCGGGCUGGCUGGCGGGCUGGCGGAAUAAGCUUGUCCGGGUCAUAACUAUGUCGUUCAUUGUCAGAUUUUAAAAUCAUUUGGCACAUUUGUUCACCAUCAUUGGACGGUGUGUCGCGCGAAAUAAUUACGUCGAUAUCUCCAAGGUCAAGGUCACACUUUGAGUUCAAAGGUCAAAAAUGGCCAUAAAUGAGCUUGUCCUGGCCAUAACUAUGUCAUUCAUUGUGAGAUUUUAAAAUCAUUUGGCACAUUUGUUCACCAUCAUGGGACGGUGUGUCCCACGAAAGAAUCACGUCAAUAUCUCCAAUGUCAAGGUCGCCACGACUAAAAAUAGAUUUAAAAAAAAAAAACUUACAAAGG
Long non-coding RNA from Dreissena polymorpha, 422 nucleotides. RefSeq lists it as uncharacterized. The record is from RefSeq and is a predicted model, not a curated record. The transcript is spliced from 2 exons. Lineage: Eukaryota; Metazoa; Mollusca; Bivalvia; Myida; Dreissenidae.